This is a long non-coding RNA of Mus musculus (house mouse), 624 nucleotides long. RefSeq annotates it as RIKEN cDNA 1600015H23 gene. The transcript has 2 exons. The record is from RefSeq and is marked validated. NCBI's taxonomy places the organism in Eukaryota, Metazoa, Chordata, Mammalia, Rodentia, Muridae.
AAACCUCCAGCUCCUCGGUCCGAAUCUAACACUUCACUGGCUUCCACCGCUGGACACUUCAGCUAAGGCGCUGGGCGUGGGCACAGGGAGAGUGUAGAGUUCCAAGGGGAGUCUGUGAAGCUACAUGGUUUCUGUACACAUUCACCCGGACUAGCUCCUGGGCCUCCUGUGACAUCUGUGGUCUCAUGCCGUGGUCAGGACACCCUGGAAGCACUUGGAACAGGAUAUAAAGGCAGCGCUUUCCACCCAGCCUGACAUCCUGCUUCCAGAUGCAAGACUCUGAGCAGGCACAAGGACAUUCCCGAAGCAGCUGGGAGCAGGGAGCUUGAGGUCAAAAUCCAAAGUCUAGUGGCUUCCAGCUUGGCCCUCACUUCGCCCUCCUUCUCCUCUUCUUGGCCCUCAGAUAUUUAGAAUGAUGCAUUACACUCCGUAGUGGUUUGUGUAAGUGUCCCCCCCCCCCCAGCCCUGGCAUCUAGACACUUGGUGUGGUCCCCACUUGGUGGCGCUGUGUGGGGAGGCUGUGCCACAGUCUGCUUCAUUCAGCUCCCUGAGGUUAGCACUGUCUGAUAUUACUAACUGGAAUUUUCCAGGAAUAAAAAAAAAAUCCAUUAGUGUCUUCGCUGA